AGUGAACGCUGGCGGUAGGCCUAACACAUGCAAGUCGAACGGCAGCACAUUAAGCUUUUGCUCUUACGGGUGGCGAGUGGCGGACGGGUGAGGAAUACAUCGGUAUCUACUUUUUCGUGGGGGAUAAUGUAGGGACACUUAUGCUAAUACCGCAUACGUCCUACGGGUGAAAGCAGGGGAUCUUCGGACCUUGUGCGAUUGAAUGAGUCGAUGUCGGAUUAGCUAGUUGGCGGGGUAAAGGCCCACUAAGGCGACGAUCCGUAGCUGGACUGAGAGUAUGAUCAGCCACACUGGAACGGGGACACGGUCCAGACGCCUACGGGAGGCAGCGGUGGGGAAUAUUGGACAAUGGGCGCAAGCCUGAUCCAGGCAUACCGCGUGGGUGAAGUAGGAGUUCGGGUUGUAAAGAACUUUUGUUGGGAAAGAAAAGCAGCAGGUUAAUACCCCGCAGUACUGACGGUACCCAAAGAAUAAGCACCGGCUAACUUCGUG
RNAcentral lists this ribosomal RNA (492 nucleotides) under uncultured bacterium. Its description in RNAcentral is "partial 16S ribosomal RNA". It matches the Rfam family "Bacterial small subunit ribosomal RNA", at positions 29 to 507 of the family's 1533-position model. The record is from RNAcentral.